This 868-nucleotide long non-coding RNA is filed under the name Lepisosteus oculatus (spotted gar). Its description in RNAcentral is "lncRNA (ENSLOCG00000021390.1)". Lineage: Eukaryota; Metazoa; Chordata; Actinopteri; Semionotiformes; Lepisosteidae. The record is from RNAcentral.
GAGAGCCGCUUCUCAAGCAGGGGACAUCAGGGAGCAGAGAGCAGACGCACUCGACGCACGGAGGUUGAUCGAUUGGUCGAUUCAUUCAUCUGUUGAUUGUCUCGAACAUCGAAUUAUUUUAUUGGCUAAUUGUUAUUGAUGAACUCAUCACGCUUAAGUCACUUUUUUUGUGGACUGGGUGGAACCCAAGCACUUUGCUGAGAGGUGUUGAAAGUGCAAAAUUACGUCGAAGAAAAGGUGUAUAGUUAGGAUUGCCGGCAAGAGAUCUUUAAAACCUUUACUGACAGAGCUGCGCUAUUUCUCUCCCGGUUUUCUCAGCAGUAGGAAAUGCAGGAAGAAAACGUUCGGGUGUCUUGGGAGCCAGCCAGAGUCCCAUCCCUCCCCUCUCUCUCCGCGGCGCAGUGCCGAUACCCGCCUGCUGAAUACAACAGGAGUCCGUGCCGGUCUAAUGAUGAGGCCCAUUAGCUGGAUUGCAAUCUGUCACUCGGGGUGUCGUAGCUGCGGUAUCCUGGGGUCACCUCCCCAUGCAUCACGGCUGCCUCCACAGUUCAUUAUUGUGUCGGGAAAUGAACACCACGCCAUGGUUUUUCAAUUAUUAAUAUUGGCUGCAAAUCUAUAUUGCAAUCAUGCGCACAUUUCAGACAGAAAACUGUUAGGGAGGCAUUCAUCAAGGGGAGGAGAGGGUGCCUGGUACAGACCGCAGGGAUGCACGCAGACGUGCUGUGGAAUUACUAAUGCCUGCCAGCCCAGGCUGCCCUCGGAAGCUCAGAUCAGCAACACCGCAUCUGAGUGGAAGCGCCACACUAAUGACGGAGAGAAACAGCACACGGAUAUCGCUUCCAGACUCCACCUGGCAAACCAGCACUGA